ACGCUGGCGGCGUGCUUAACACAUGCAAGUCGAACGGGAUCCCGGGGGUUCGCCUCCGGGUGAGAGUGGCGAACGGGUGAGUAAUGCGUGACCGACCUGCCCCAUACACCGGAAUAGCUCCUGGAAACGGGUGGUAAUGCCGGAUGCUCCAGUCCAUCGCAUGGUGGUCUGGGAAAGAUUCCAUCGGUAUGGGAUGGGGUCGCGUCCUAUCAGCUUGAUGGCGGGGUAACGGCCCACCAUGGCUUCGACGGGUAGCCGGCCUGAGAGGGCGACCGGCCACAUUGGGACUGAGAUACGGCCCAGACUCCUACGGGAGGCAGCAGUGGGGAAUAUUGCACAAUGGGCGCAAGCCUGAUGCAGCGACGCCGCGUGCGGGAUGGAGGCCUUCGGGUUGUAAACCGCUUUUGAUCGGGAGCAAGCCCUUCGGGGUGAGUGUACCCUUCGAAUAAGCACCGGCUAACUACGUGCCAGCAGCCGCGGUAAUACGUAGGGUGCAAGCGUUAUCCGGAAUUAUUGGGCGUAAAGGGCUCGUAGGCGGUUCGUCGCGUCCGGUGUGAAAGCCCAUCGCUUAACGGUGGGUCUGCGCCGGGUACGGGCGGGCUGGAGUGCGGUAGGGGAGACUGGAAUUCCCGGUGUAACGGUGGAAUGUGUAGAUAUCGGGAAGAACACCAAUGGCGAAGGCAGGUCUCUGGGCCGUCACUGACGCUGAGGAGCGAAAGCGUGGGGAGCGAACAGGAUUAGAUACCCUGGUAGUCCACGCCGUAAACGGUGGAUGCUGGAUGUGGGGCCCGUUCCACGGGUUCCGUGUCGGAGCUAACGCGUUAAGCAUCCCGCCUGGGGAGUACGGCCGCAAGGCUAAAACUCAAAGAAAUUGACGGGGGCCCGCACAAGCGGCGGAGCAUGCGGAUUA
RNAcentral lists this ribosomal RNA (910 nucleotides) under uncultured bacterium. RNAcentral describes it as "bacterial SSU rRNA". It matches the Rfam family "Bacterial small subunit ribosomal RNA", at positions 33 to 948 of the family's 1533-position model. The record is from RNAcentral.